Molecule: non-coding RNA, 85 nt
Filed under: Microbacterium sediminis
Lineage: Bacteria; Bacillati; Actinomycetota; Actinomycetes; Micrococcales; Microbacteriaceae
Description: ZTP sequence
Rfam family: ZMP/ZTP riboswitch aptamer (pfl RNA motif)
About the family: Previously known as pfl RNA. ZMP is also known as AICAR.
Source: Rfam by way of RNAcentral
UCGACGGGUCGCGACUGGCGUUGAGGUGGGUCACCACCGGGGAGCGACCUGGACGGCAUUUCGACCGCGCGCCUGGGCCGAAGCG